UAAUACAGAGGGUGCGAGCGUUAAUCGGAAUUACUGGGCGUAAAGCGUGCGUAGACGGUUAUUUAAGUCGGGUGUGAAAGCCCCGGGCUCAACCUGGGAAUUGCAUUCGAGACUGAAUAGCUAGGGUACGGUAGAGGGAAGCGGAAUUUCCGGUGUAGCGGUGAAAUGCGUAGAUAUCGGAAGGAACAUCAGUGGCGAAAGCGGCUUCCUGGACCAGUACCGACGUUCAGGCACGAAAGCGUGGGGAGCAAACAGGAUUAGAUACCCUGGUAGUCCACGCCGUAAACGAUGGGUGCUAGACGUUGGCGAGCUUGCUCGUCAGUGUCGCAGCUAACGCGUUAAGCACCCCGCCUGGGGAGUACGGCCGCAAGGUUG
RNAcentral lists this ribosomal RNA (375 nucleotides) under uncultured bacterium. RNAcentral describes it as "bacterial SSU rRNA". It matches the Rfam family "Bacterial small subunit ribosomal RNA", at positions 521 to 896 of the family's 1533-position model. The record is from RNAcentral.